RNAcentral lists this ribosomal RNA (264 nucleotides) under uncultured archaeon. RNAcentral's name for it is "partial 16S ribosomal RNA". It matches the Rfam family "Archaeal small subunit ribosomal RNA", at positions 717 to 982 of the family's 1478-position model. The record is from RNAcentral.
ACACGACUACAUUAGAUACCCGGGUAGUCCUAGGCGUAAAUGAUGCGAGUUAAGUNUGGGGGCAUCUACGAGAUGGCCCUGUGCUGUAGGGUAGCCGUUAAACUCGCUGCCUGGGGAGUACGGUCGCGAGGCUGAAACUUAAAGGAAUUGGCGGGGAGCACCACAAGAGGUGGAGGCUGCGGUUCAAUUGGACUCAACGCCGGAAAACUCAUCGGGAGCGACAGCAGUAUGAUUGCCAGGUUGAUGACCUUGCUUGACAAGCUG